UAACCAGACUCCUACGGGAGGCAGCAGUGAGGAAUAUUGGUCAAUGGGCGGAAGCCUGAACCAGCCAAGUCGCGUGAGGGAAGAAGGCCCUGCGGGUCGCAGACCUCUUUGGACGGGGAGCAAGGCCGCCGACGUGUCGGCGGAAGGAGAGUACCCGUAGAACAAGCAUCGGCUAACUCCGUGCCAGCAGCCGCGGUAAUACGUAGGGGGCGAGCGUGAUCCGGAUUCACUGGGUGUAAAGGGAGCGUAGACGGCCGUGCAAGCCAGGAGUGAAAGCCCGGGCCCCAACCCCGGGACUGCUCUUGGAACUGUGCGGCUGGAGUGCGGGAGGGGCAGGCAGAAUUCCUGGUGUAGCGGUGAAAUGCGUAGAUAUCAGGAGGAACACCGGCGGCGAAGGCGGCCUGCUGGACCGCGACUGACGUUGAGGCCC
This 430-nucleotide ribosomal RNA is filed under the name uncultured bacterium. RNAcentral's name for it is "bacterial SSU rRNA". It matches the Rfam family "Bacterial small subunit ribosomal RNA", at positions 328 to 754 of the family's 1533-position model. The record is from RNAcentral.